This 299-nucleotide non-coding RNA is filed under the name Onchocerca ochengi. RNAcentral describes it as "Eukaryotic small subunit ribosomal RNA". The stretch from base 1 to 255 matches the Rfam family "Eukaryotic small subunit ribosomal RNA", at positions 1361 to 1606 of the family's 1831-position model. The record is from Rfam by way of RNAcentral. Lineage: Eukaryota; Metazoa; Nematoda; Chromadorea; Rhabditida; Onchocercidae.
AUUAAAAACCAGAGAUUUAAAACGGUCAGACAAUUUAUAACAAUCAGAGAUGUAUUAAUUUAGAGAAAUGAAACGAAGUAUUUCGAAUAAAGAUGCAUUUUUUGUAGGCAGUAACAGGUCUACGAUGCUUUUAAACGUCCAGGGCUGUACGCGUGCUACACUGCAGAAAUCAACGUGAUGAAACCAUUACCGAAAGAUAUUGGUAACCCCUUGGAAAUCCUCCGUGAUCAGGAAUUGCAAUUAUUUUCCCAACUAAAAAAUCUGAUUAAAAAAUAAAAUUUGAUUUUUUACUUUCCAUU